GCUGGGCAUGGUGGUGCAUGCCUGUAGUCCCAGCUACUCGGGAGGCUGAGGCAGGAGAAUUGCUUGAACCCAGGAGGCGGAGGUUGCGGUGAGCCGAGAUCGUGCCAUUGCACUCCAGCCUGGGUAACAACAAUGAAACUCUGUCUCAAAAAAAAGAACUAUUCAUCAAAGAGAUUUUGUUGUUGUUGUUGUUGUUUUGAGACGGAGUAUUACUCUGUCACCCAGGCUAGAGUGCAGUGGCACGAUCUUGGCUCACUGCAACCUCCACCUCCUGGGUUCAAGCGCUUCUCCUGCCACAG
This 299-nucleotide signal recognition particle RNA is filed under the name Callithrix jacchus (white-tufted-ear marmoset). Its description in RNAcentral is "Metazoan signal recognition particle RNA (ENSCJAG00000066077.2)". It matches the Rfam family "Metazoan signal recognition particle RNA". Rfam says of the family: The signal recognition particle (SRP) is a universally conserved ribonucleoprotein. It is involved in the co-translational targeting of proteins to membranes. The eukaryotic SRP consists of a 300-nucleotide 7S RNA and six proteins: SRPs 72, 68, 54, 19, 14, and 9. Lineage: Eukaryota; Metazoa; Chordata; Mammalia; Primates; Cebidae. The record is from RNAcentral.